RNAcentral lists this long non-coding RNA (1022 nucleotides) under Panicum hallii. Its description in RNAcentral is "long non-coding RNA (PHAL_LNC000201)". The record is from RNAcentral. Lineage: Eukaryota; Viridiplantae; Streptophyta; Magnoliopsida; Poales; Poaceae.
UUGAGUCCAUUACUCCAUUGUUUUCAAACGGAAAACAAGGUUCUCACGUUGAAUCUGCUUUUGGACCAGGUGAAGUAGGCCCUCCUGAAAAGAAAUUUUCCCCAUCAGGUAAUUAGUUUCUCUUUUAACAUGAGAGAACAAAUAUUGUUGAUUACAUUGUGCAGAAAAAAAAAUACUGCCACUGCUGACAUUCUUUCUCUGUUUUAGAUCAAGAAUUACCUCAUUCUGCAGAACAGCCUACCUCCGGUGAACCAAGGAAAGAACAAACUGUUGUUCCCACUGCUGAACAAAUCAAGCAACAGCCAACUGUCAUUGGUCAAAAAGACACAGUAGACACAAGAGAGGCUCUGAUAUCAGAAGAUGUGCUUGAUACUACACCUACCCAUGGUGACGUUCACCCUACUGGUAGCAUUGAACCAGACAGCAGACCUUUAUCAAUUAAAGGGGAAGAAACUCAAGAACCACCACCUCGUGUGGCUAAAGACUCCCUAGACACUGAAGAUAUAUCUACUGAUGCCUUAGGAAAUGUUCAGUCCUUGAAACCAUCAACAACUCCAGGUGCUCUUCGCAUCACAACUGGCGGUACACCUGGUGAUGUAGUGAUGGCUGAACAGACAUCUUCCACAUCAGGUAACUAUGGUCAUAUGGUGCACUAUCUACAGGCCUAGACCUACAAAACUUACUAUUAAUAUCAAUUAUUCAGGUCAAGAUUCUGCUGAUCCUGUAGAACCAGCCUUCCCUCUUGGUCCAGGGAACAAGGAGAUUAGAGAUUCAACUCCUUCAGGACUAAUAAUUUCCUCUACCAACCCAGAUAAAAGAGAUGCUAUUGUUGCUGCACCUGAUCAAGCCAAGGACUUGCAAACAAUUCCCAGUGGACAGGACAUAUUGUCCACCCAACGUCCUUCAGGGAAGGUUCAGGAAACUGUACCUGGUGAUGACUCGAGCAAAGAUAAGCCUUUCAGACCAUCCUCUGCUGUUCGAGAAGGCGAACCCUCCAAACUGGUCCCAGCAUCAGUUCCAGG